RNAcentral lists this ribosomal RNA (253 nucleotides) under uncultured bacterium. Its description in RNAcentral is "partial 16S ribosomal RNA". It matches the Rfam family "Bacterial small subunit ribosomal RNA", at positions 524 to 776 of the family's 1533-position model. The record is from RNAcentral.
UACGUAGGUGGCAAGCGUUGUCCGGAUUUACUGGGCGUAAAGAGCGCGCAGGCGGCUCGGUAAGUCUGCUGUGAAAUCUCCCGGCUUAACUGGGAGGGGUCAGCGGAUACUGUCGGGCUUGAGGCAGGUAGAGGAAGGUGGAAUUCCCGGUGUAGUGGUGAAAUGCGUAGAUAUCGGGAGGAACACCAGUGGCGAAGGCGGCCUUCUGGGCCUGUCCUGACGCUGAGGCGCGAAAGCCAGGGGAGCGAACGGG